RNAcentral lists this ribosomal RNA (465 nucleotides) under uncultured bacterium. RNAcentral describes it as "partial 16S ribosomal RNA". It matches the Rfam family "Bacterial small subunit ribosomal RNA", at positions 28 to 507 of the family's 1533-position model. The record is from RNAcentral.
GACGAACGCUGGCGGCGUGCUUAACACAUGCAAGUCGAACGGAAAGGCCCUGCUUGCAGGGUACUCGAGUGGCGAACGGGUGAGUAACACGUGGGUGAUCUGCCCUGCUCUUCGGGAUAAGCCUGGUAAACUGGGUCUAAUACCGGCCAGGUGCCAUUUUUAGUGUGAUGGUUGGAAAGUUUUUUCGGUGUAGGAUGAGCUGGCGGCCUAUCAGCUUGUUGGUGGGGUAAUGGACUACCAAGGCGGCGACGGGUAGCCGGCCUGAGGGGGUGGACGGCCACAUUGGGACUGAGGGGCGGCCCAGACUCCGACGGGUGGGAGCAGGGGGGAAGAUUGAAGGAGGGGCGCAGGGCUGGUGCAGCGAGGCCGCGGGGGGGAUGACGGCCUUAGGGUUGUAGAAUCCUUUCGCUAGGGACGAAGCUUUUUGUGACGGUACCUAGAUAAGAAGCACCGGCUAACUACGUG